Molecule: ribosomal RNA, 233 nt
Filed under: uncultured bacterium
Lineage: Bacteria
Description: partial 16S ribosomal RNA
Rfam family: Bacterial small subunit ribosomal RNA
Source: RNAcentral
CGGGUGAGUAACACGUAUCCAACCUGCCGUCUACUCUUGGCCAGCCUUCUGAAAGGAAGAUUAAUCCAGGAUGGCAUCAUGAGUUCACAUGUCCGCAUGAUUAAAGGUAUUUUCCGGUAGACGAUGGGGAUGCGCUCCAUUAGCCAGUUGGCGGGGUAACGGCCCACCAAAGCGACGAUGGAUAGGGGUUCUGAGAGGAAGGUCCCCCACAUUGGAACUGAGACACGGUCCAA